AGGUGACCAGACGAUCGCGGGCCCCCUGUGGGCAUGAGGAAAGUCCGAGCACCGCAGGGCAGGGUGCCGGCUAACGGCCGGUGGAGGCGACUCCAAGGAGAGUGCAACAGAAAGAAACCGCAGCGCGCGCUGCGUGCUGUAAGGAUGGAAAGGCGAGGUAAGAGCUCACCCACGGCCUGGCGACUUGUCCGUGCUGUAAACCCCACCCGGUGCAAGAUGGUAUGAGGACACAUGCGGCUGCCCGUCGCGUCCUCGCAAUCGCUUGAGCCUGCGCGGCAACGCCAGGCCUGGAUAGAUGAUCGUCCACGACAGAACUCGGCUUACGGUCACGCUCG
Molecule: RNase P RNA, 335 nt
Filed under: pig gut metagenome
Description: Bacterial RNase P class A
Rfam family: Bacterial RNase P class A
About the family: Ribonuclease P (RNase P) is a ubiquitous endoribonuclease, found in archaea, bacteria and eukarya as well as chloroplasts and mitochondria. Its best characterised activity is the generation of mature 5'-ends of tRNAs by cleaving the 5'-leader elements of precursor-tRNAs. Cellular RNase Ps are ribonucleoproteins.
Source: RNAcentral